RNAcentral lists this ribosomal RNA (414 nucleotides) under bacterium enrichment culture clone ALO1_GLFRUDD03FXP7X. RNAcentral describes it as "bacterial SSU rRNA". It matches the Rfam family "Bacterial small subunit ribosomal RNA", at positions 9 to 425 of the family's 1533-position model. The record is from RNAcentral.
GAGUUUGAUCGUGGCUCAGAUUGAACGCUGGCGGCAGGCCCUAACACAUGCAAGUCGAGCGGAUGACGGGAGCUUGCUCCUUGAUUCAGCGGCGGACGGGUGAGUAAUGCCUGGAAUCUGCCUGGUAGUGGGGACAACGUUUCGAAAGGAACGCUAAUACCGCAUACGUCCUACGGAGAAAGCAGGGACCUUCGGGCCUUGCGCUAUCUAGAUGAGCCUAGGUCGGAUUAGCUAGUUGGUGGGGUAAUGGCUCACCAAGGCGACGAUCCGUAACUGGUCUGAGAGGAUGAUCAGUCACACUGGAACUGAGACACGGUCCAGACUCCUACGGGAGGCAGCAGUGGGGAAUAGUUGGACAAUGGGACGAAAGCCUGAUCCAGCCAUGCCGCGUGUGUGAAGAAGGUCUUCGGAUUG